This 200-nucleotide unclassified non-coding RNA is filed under the name soil metagenome. RNAcentral describes it as "partial contains internal transcribed spacer 2 and large subunit ribosomal RNA". The record is from RNAcentral.
UUCGAGCGUCAUUACACCACUCAAGCCCCGCUUGGUAUUGGGCGCCGCGCUUCGGCGCGCGCCUCAAUGUAACCGGCUGAGUCGACCGUCUCUAAGCGUUGUGGCACUAUGUUUCCGCUUCGGAGCUCGGGAGUCUCGCGCCGUUAAACACCCCAUCAAAGGUUGACCUCGGAUCAGGUAGGGAUACCCGCUGAACUUAA